GAUGAACGCUAGCUACAGGCUUAACACAUGCAAGUCGCAGGGUAACAUGAGGAAAGCUUGCUUUCCUUGAUGACGACUGGCGCACGGGUGAGUAACGCGUAUCCAACCUUCCCAUAACUACGGGAUAACCCGUUGAAAGACGGCCUAAUACCGUAUGAUAUCGUUUGCUGACAUCAAAUAACGAUUAAAGGUUUAGCGGUUAUGGAUGGGGAUGCGUCUGAUUAGCUUGUUGGCGGGGUAACGGCCCACCAAGGCGACGAUCAGUAGGGGUUCUGAGAGGAAGGUCCCCCGCAUUGGAACUGAGACACGGUCCAAACUCCUACGGGAGGCAGCAGUGAGGAAUAUUGGUCAAGGGGCGAGAGCCUGAACCAGCCAAGUAGCGUGCAGGACGACGGCCCUAUGGGUUGUAAACUGCUUUUAUGUGGGGAUAAAGUGCGUGACGUGUCAUGCAUUGCAGGUACCACAUGAAUAAGGACCGGCUAAUUCCGUG
RNAcentral lists this ribosomal RNA (490 nucleotides) under uncultured bacterium. RNAcentral's name for it is "partial 16S ribosomal RNA". It matches the Rfam family "Bacterial small subunit ribosomal RNA", at positions 28 to 507 of the family's 1533-position model. The record is from RNAcentral.